GCCCCUGUAGCUUAGCGGUAGAGCGCAUGGCUGUUAACCAUGAGGCCGCCAGUUCGAAUCUGGCCGGGGGCG
Molecule: transfer RNA, 72 nt
Filed under: Candidatus Woesearchaeota archaeon
Lineage: Archaea; Nanobdellati; Candidatus Woesearchaeota
Description: tRNA-Asn
Rfam family: tRNA
About the family: Transfer RNA (tRNA) molecules are approximately 80 nucleotides in length. Their secondary structure includes four short double-helical elements and three loops (D, anti-codon, and T loops).
Source: RNAcentral